RNAcentral lists this ribosomal RNA (495 nucleotides) under uncultured bacterium. RNAcentral describes it as "partial 16S ribosomal RNA". It matches the Rfam family "Bacterial small subunit ribosomal RNA", at positions 28 to 507 of the family's 1533-position model. The record is from RNAcentral.
GACGAACGCUGGCGGCGUGCCUAAUACAUGCAAGUCGAACGCUGAAGGAGGAGCUUGCUCUUCUGGAUGAGUUGCGAACGGGUGAGUAACGCGUAGGUAACCUGCCUGGUAGCGGGGGAUAACUAUUGGAAACGAUAGCUAAUACCGCAUAAUAGUAGAUGUUGCAUGAUAUUUACUUAAAAGGUGCAAUUGCACCACUACCAGAUGGACCUGCGUUGUAUUAGCUAGUUGGUGGGGUAACGGCUCACCAAGGCGACGAUACAUAGCCGACCUGAGAGGGGGGUCGCCCACCCUGGGACUGGGACGGGCCCCAUGCGCCUACGGGAGGCAGCAGUAGGGAACCUGCGGCAAUGGACGAGAGUCUGACCGAGCAACGCCGCGUGAGUUAAGGAGGUUUUCGGUUCGUGAAGCUCGGUUGUAAGUUAAGAACGGGUGUGGGAGUGGAAAGUUCACACUGUGACGGUAGCUGAUCAGAAAGCAACGGCUAACUACGUG